This 429-nucleotide ribosomal RNA is filed under the name Gemmatimonadota bacterium. RNAcentral describes it as "Gemmatimonadetes bacterium partial 16S ribosomal RNA". It matches the Rfam family "Bacterial small subunit ribosomal RNA", at positions 355 to 776 of the family's 1533-position model. The record is from RNAcentral. Lineage: Bacteria; Pseudomonadati; Gemmatimonadota.
UAGGGAAUCUUCGGCAAUGGACGAAAGUCUGACCGAGCAACGCCGCGUGAGUGAAGAAGGUUUUCGGAUCGUAAAACUCUGUUGUUAGAGAAGAACAAGGACGUUAGUAACUGAACGUCCCCUGACGGUAUCUAACCAGAAAGCCACGGCUAACUACGUGCCAGCAGCCGCGGUAAUACGUAGGUGGCAAGCGUUGUCCGGAUUUAUUGGGCGUAAAGCGAGCGCAGGCGGUUUCUUAAGUCUGGUGUGAAAGCCCCCGGCUCAACCGGGGGGGGUCAUUGGAAACUGGGGGACUUGAGUGCAGAAGAGGAGAGUGGAAUUCCAUGUGUAGCGGUGAAAUGCGUAGAUAUAUGGAGGAACACCAGUGGCGAAGGCGGCUCUCUGGUCUGUAACUGACGCUGAGGCUCGAAAGCGUGGGGAGCAAACAGG